RNAcentral lists this long non-coding RNA (2518 nucleotides) under Homo sapiens (human). RNAcentral's name for it is "HSALNT0382052". Lineage: Eukaryota; Metazoa; Chordata; Mammalia; Primates; Hominidae. The record is from RNAcentral.
AAGCAUUCUCGUGUUGUAAAGGGGAAACUAAGGCUUUGAGAGGAGUGUGGCUUGCACAGUGUCACGUAGCUAGUGGCAGCACUGCCAGAAUUCAAACCCAAAAGUCUCUGGCUCCAAAGUCUGUGCUUGUAAAGCGAUACUAUUUUGUCUACCUCAUGGCUUUCAGGAUGGGAAAGAAAGCAAUAGGGUUUUAAAAUAUGUUCUCUCCCCUUCUUUUUUUUAAGGGUAUUUAUUACUAAAAGUGUUUUAAAACUGGACCACUGAGUAAAGUCACUCCAUCUCCUACUGUUCCUAGCACAGUGCUUGAUAAAUAUUUGCUGGCUCAUUCAGCUGCAGCUGCAGAGACCUACCUGUGUUUGCUGUGGCGACUGUCCGGGCCAAAGCUCAGGCAGCUGGAAGUAUCAGUGAAGCCAGAAGAUUCUAGCUGUUCAGGGUCUGUGAGGAGGAGUCAAGGUCUGGGGUUUGUGUCCUCUGGCAUAGCAAUGGCACUGCAAUGGGGGAGCCUGUUGCUGGGCUGGGCCAUCUCGCCACUGUCACCUGCCUGUUGAGGGGUGACGGUGGUUGUUGAGAGGCUGGAUCAGACCCCAGAGGUGACAUGGAUGUGGCAUAUUUGUUGGACUUACACAGCCUUGCAUUUUAUUUUCAUCUCUGUUCCUUCCUCCCAUGAGAUCUUGGGUGGUGUUUAUCAACCCUGAGUAAUCGUUUCUUUGUCUGCAAGAUGGAAUAAAAAGGCCUACCUCAUUGGGCUCGUGUGGGUGAGGAGAACUGAAGAGUCUGAGAGCGCGGCACGAGCCAGAGGCUACGGAAAACACUGCCCUCCUACACUCCACCUUGGAGAGACCCAGAAAAGAACAAGCUUCAUUUGUAAAAAAGGAAAACAACUCAGGCAAUGGGGGUGGCUUAAAGGCACUCUACAGUGUGCAGAUGCCUUCCACUUCUUCCAUCUGCCCUGUCUCUCCAAGAACCCCUAUGGCCCCGGUCUCAGAACAGAGCUGAGUGCAGAAAUGAAAAUCUAUGGCUCUGUGUUCCAAAACGAUGAAGAAUUUCAAGAUGGUGGCAGUGGUAAAAUCUUUCUCCAGGAAAAAUCUGUCCUUGGCCCAAUGUGUAAACACUUGCUGAGGAACUUGGAAUAACUUGCAGUGUCUUGCAGUAUUGUGAAACCAGCAACUUGUUCACAAUUCUUCUGAAUUUCUUGGGAAAUUUGAAGUGGAGUACCUGUACCAACAUGAAAUGACACGAAUUUAAGUGACGCUCAACAACGAAAAGCAAAAAGAACCAAAGAGGAAGCAACUGAAACAACAUCUGGAUGUAUUUAAAAAUAUACAAUGCCUCCAAAAUCAGGUGUCAUUAAUGAAAAUUCUGAAGAAAUGCCACCGGACAUAGCCAACGCACCUACGCUGUUGUUAUUCAUUUCCUGCUUUUCACAGAAAACAAUUUUGUUGCAUGGAAGAUCGUGAACUUCAAAGGGCAGAGGGGAAACUGUCCCUUGGCCUCUACCCCUCCAAGGCCCCACUUUUUUGUCAACACUCCUUGGACGCAGCAGAAGUAUGAACAUAAUAUGGUCCUGAAUGAGGCUGAGUCUUUGGGCGCAGAAGACCCGGGUUAAUAAAAAUAGGAAGGUAAGAAAAGAAAAGAAAAAUCAAGACACAUCAUAGGACUAAAUUCCUAUUAUUUAUCCACUCAGGAUUGACCACCCCUUUGGGCCAGAUAGUUGUACCCCCAUGUACCAGGUGGGCACAUGAAGACACAAGAAGUGCUGUGAUGGUUCAUUUUGCACGUCACCUUGCGUGGAGUAUGCCAACUCAUUGUUUGGUCAAACACUAGUCUGGACAUGGUGGUAAAGGUAUUUUUUAGAUGAGAUUAACACUUAAAUCAGUAAAGCAGGUUACCCACCAUACUACGGGUGGGCCCUGUCCAAUCAGUUGAAGGCAUUAAGAACAAAGAUUGAGGUUUCCUAAAGAAGAUGGAAUUCUCCUUGAGACUACAACAUAGAAACCCUAUCUGAGUUUCCAGCCUGUUGCCCUGUGGAAUUCAAACUCAGGACUCCGGUCUAUGACAUUAACCCUCACUUAACUUUUCAGCCUGCCAGCCUGCCCUAUGGAUUUCGGACUUGCCAGCCACACAAUUCCUUAAAAUAAAUCUCUCCGUCUCUGUCUGUUUCUCUCUGUCUAUAUACACACCUGCAUGCAUAUAUACAUAUAUAUAUGUAUGCAUCUAUAUAUUUAUAUCUAAUCUCGUAUUGCUUAUUGGUUCUGUUUCUCUGUAGAACUCUGCCUAAUACAGCUGAAGAUGUAUUCUCUUUAGAAAGCUUGCAAUUACUGGGGAACAAUCAGUACAGAAGUCGACAAUUACAGAAAGGGGACUAGGGUAAUAUGGUGGCCAAUGUCCUUGUGAGUAGUGGUGACAGAGGGCAACAAGUUAGAGACUGCCAAGGGAAAGUCAAGAGCAAGGGAAACAGAGAUGAAGUAGGUUCAGCCAGGCCCCACCACCUACCCAGACUAAACCUGGAGAGUCUCUU